AUGUCUGUGGGGUCCUGUGGGGUCUUAUGGUGUCUUAUGGGAUCCUAUGGGGUCGUAUGGGGUCUGUGGGUUAAUAUGCGGUCUUAUGGGGUCCCAUGGUUUCUUUGGGGUCCUGUGCCGUUGUAUGGGAUCCUAUGGGAUCAUAUGGGGUCUUAUAGGGUCCCAUGGUGUCUAUGGGGUUCUUUGGGGUCCUAUGGAGUCUGUGGGGUAAUAUGGGGACCUAUAGGGUUUUAUGAUGUCUUAUGGGGUCUGUGGGUUAAUACGUGCUCUUAUGGGGUCCCACGGUGUCUAUGGGGUCCCACUGUCUCUAUGGGCUCCUAUGGGGUCCCACGGUGUCUAUGGGGUCCUGUGGGGUUGUAUGGGAUCCUAUGGGGUCGUAUUGGAUCCUAUGGGGUAAUCUGGGGUCCUAUAGGUUCCCAUGGGGUUUUAUGGUGUCUGUGGGGUCUUAUGGGGUCCUGGGGUGUCCUAUGGGGUCGUAUGGGAUCUUAUNNNNNNNNNNNGUUUUAUGGUGUCUAUGGGGUCUUAUGGGGUCCUGGGGUGUCCUGUGGUGUCUUACGGGAUCCUAUGGGGGUAAUAUGGGGUCCUAUACGUUCCCAUGGGGUUUUAUGGUGUCUAUGGGGUCCUGUGGGGUCCCAUGGUCUCUAUGGGGUCCUAUGGGGUCCCACGGUCUCUAUGGGGUCCUAUGGGGUCCUGGGGUGUCUUACGGGAUCCUAUGGGGUCGUAUGGGGUUUUAUGGUCUCUAUGGGGUCCCAUGGGGUCCCACGGUCUCUAUGGGGUCCUAUGGGGUCUUAUGGGAUCCUAUGGGGUAAUAUGGGGUCCUAUAGGUUCCUAUGGGGUUUUAUGGGGUCUAUGGGGUCCCACGGUCUCUAUGGUGUCCUAUGGGGUCCUGUGGGGUUUUAUGGGAUCCUAUGGGGUCCUGGGGUGUCCUGUGGUGUCUUAUGGGAUCCUAUGGGGUCGUAUGGGAUCCUAUGGGGUCGUAUGGGGUUUUAUGGUGUCUAUGGGGUCUUAUGGUGUCCUGUGGUGUCUUACGGGAUCCUAUGGGUUCCUAUGGGAUGCUAUGGGGUAAUAUGGGAUCCUAUGGGGUAAUAUGGGGUUUUAUGGUGUCUAUGGGGUCUUAUGGGAUCCUAUGGGGUAAUAUGGGGUCCUAUAGGUUCCUAUGGGGUCUAUGGGGUCCCAUCCUCACCUCAGCCCACGGAGGAGGAAACGGAGCAGCAGCAGCAGGAAGGAUGGGGAGCUGCAGGGAAACGGACAAUUAGCGAGGAGAAGCCAUUAGCAGAGCCAAGGAGGGGUAAUUAAGGGCCGGGGGGGAUUAUUAGGGGGCAGGAGGAAUUAUUAGGGACUAAUAACGAUUAGAUGGAGAGAAUUAUUAGGGGGGAGAAGGAGGAAUAAUUAUUAGAGGGGGAGAAGGAAGGAAUUAUUAGAGGGAAAUAAUGAUUAGAGGGAAGGAAGGAAUAAUUAGAGAGGGAAAGUGAAUGAAUGGAGGGAUGGAGGGAAGGGAAAAGGAAUGAAGGGAGGGGAAAAGGAAUGAAGGGAGGGAGGAAGGGAGGGAAAAAUGAAUGAAUGGAGGGAGGAAGGGAAAGGAAAAUGAAUGAAUGAAGGGAGGGGAAAAUGAAUGAAUGAAUGGAGGGAAAAUGAAUGAAUGAAUGGAUGGAGGGAAAAAUGAAUGAAUGAAGGGAGGGAAGAAUGAAUGAAUGGAUGGAUGGAGGGAGGGGAAAAUGAAGGAACGAAUGAGUGAAUGAAGGGAGGGGAAAACGAAUGAAGGAAGGGGAAAAUGAAUGAAUGAAUGGAUGGAGGGGAAAAUGAAUGAAUGGAGGGAGGAAGGGGAAAAGAAUGAAUGAAGGGAGGGAGGGGAAAAUGAACGAAUGAAUGAAUGGAGGGAGGGGAAAAGGAAGGAAGGAAGGGGAAAAUGAAUGAAUGAAUGAGUGAAUGGAUGGAGGAAAAAAGGAAUGAAUGAAGGGAGGGAAAAUGAAUGAAUAAAUGGAUGGAGGGGAAAAUGAAUGAAUGGAGG
This 2008-nucleotide long non-coding RNA is filed under the name Phasianus colchicus (ring-necked pheasant). RNAcentral's name for it is "lncRNA (ENSPCLG00000017315.1)". The record is from RNAcentral. Lineage: Eukaryota; Metazoa; Chordata; Aves; Galliformes; Phasianidae.